GCCGCCUUAGCUCAGCUGGUAGAGCGACGCUUUCGUAAAGCGUAGGUCGUGAGUUCGAAUCUCACAGGUGGCU
Molecule: transfer RNA, 73 nt
Filed under: Planctomycetota bacterium
Lineage: Bacteria; Pseudomonadati; Planctomycetota
Description: tRNA-Thr
Rfam family: tRNA
About the family: Transfer RNA (tRNA) molecules are approximately 80 nucleotides in length. Their secondary structure includes four short double-helical elements and three loops (D, anti-codon, and T loops).
Source: RNAcentral